Molecule: ribosomal RNA, 496 nt
Filed under: uncultured bacterium
Lineage: Bacteria
Description: partial 16S ribosomal RNA
Rfam family: Bacterial small subunit ribosomal RNA
Source: RNAcentral
GAUGAACGCUGGCGGCGUGCCUAAUACAUGCAAGUCGAGCGAACGGACGAGAAGCUUGCUUCUCUGAUGUUAGCGGCGGACGGGUGAGUAACACGUGGAUAACCUACCUAUAAGACUGGGAUAACUUCGGGAAACCGGAGCUAAUACCGGAUAAUAUUUUGAACCGCAUGGUUCAAAAGUGAAAGACGGUCUUGCUGUCACUUAAAGUUGAUCCGCGCUGCAUUAGCUAGUUGGUAAGGUAACGGCUUACCAAGGCAACGAUGCAUAGCCGACCUGAGAGGGUGAUCGGCCACACUGGAACUGAGACACGGUCCAGACUCCUACGGGAGGCAGCAGUAGGGAAUCUUCCGCAAUGGGCGAAAGCCUGACGGAGCAACGCCGCGUGAGUGAUGAAGGUCUUCGGAUCGUAAAACUCUGUUAUUAGGGAAGAACAUAUGUGUAAGUAACUGUGCACAUCUUGACGGUACCUAAUCAGAAAGCCACGGCUAACUACGUG